GAUGAACGCUGGCGGCGUGCCUAAUACAUGCAAGUCGAGCGAACGGACGAGAAGCUUGCUUCUCUGAUGUUAGCGGCGGACGGGUGAGUAACACGUGGAUAACCUACCUAUAAGACUGGUAUAACUUCGGGAAACCGGAUCUAAUACCGUAUGAUAUUUUGAACCGCAUGGUUCAAAAGUGAAAGACGGUCUUGCUGUCACUUAUAGAUGGAUCCGCGCUGCAUUAGCUAGUUGGUAAGGUCACGGCUUACCAAGGCGACGAUGCAUAGCCGACCUGAGAGGGGGAUCGGCCACACUGGAACUGAGACACGGUCCAGACUCCUACGGGAGGCAGCAGUAGGGAAUGUUCCGCAAUGGGCGAAAGCAUUACGGAGCAACGGCGAGUGAGUUACGAAGGUCUUCGGAUCGUAAAAAUCUGUUAUUAGGGAAGAACAGAUGUGUAAGGAAACGUGCACAGCUUGACGGUACCGAAUAAGAAAGCCACGGCUAACUACGUG
This 497-nucleotide ribosomal RNA is filed under the name uncultured bacterium. RNAcentral's name for it is "partial 16S ribosomal RNA". It matches the Rfam family "Bacterial small subunit ribosomal RNA", at positions 28 to 507 of the family's 1533-position model. The record is from RNAcentral.